AGCUCAUGGCUCAAUAAUAGAGCGUUCGACUCAAAUACCAAUGGUCGCGGGUUCAAAUCCCACAUGUGCCA
Non-coding RNA from Schistocephalus solidus, 71 nucleotides. The record is from Rfam. NCBI's taxonomy places the organism in Eukaryota, Metazoa, Platyhelminthes, Cestoda, Diphyllobothriidea, Diphyllobothriidae.